AGCGAACGCUGGCGGCGUGCCUAAUACAUGCAAGUCGAGCGAACAGACGAGGAGCUUGCUCCUCUGACGUUAGCGGCGGACGGGUGAGUAACACGUGGAUAACCUACCUAUAAGACUGGGAUAACUUCGGGAAACCGGAGCUAAUACCGGAUAACAUGUUGAACCGCAUGGUUCAACAGUGAAAGACGGUCUUGCUGUCACUUAUAGAUGGAUCCGCGCCGCAUUAGCUAGUUGGUAAGGUAACGGCUUACCAAGGCAACGAUGCGUAGCCGACCUGAGAGGGUGAUCGGCCACACUGGAACUGAGACACGGUCCAGACUCCUACGGGAGGCAGCAGUAGGGAAUCUUCCGCAAUGGGCGAAAGCCUGACGGAGCAACGCCGCGUGAGUGAAGAAGGUCUUCGGAUCGUAAAACUCUGUUAUUAGGGAAGAACAAAUGUGUAAGUAACUAUGCACGUCUUGACGGUACCUAAUCAGAAAGCCACGGCUAACUACGUG
Molecule: ribosomal RNA, 497 nt
Filed under: uncultured bacterium
Lineage: Bacteria
Description: partial 16S ribosomal RNA
Rfam family: Bacterial small subunit ribosomal RNA
Source: RNAcentral